GGCAUGCUGGGACCUAUCUCACCUAACUGCGGGCAAGACGGGGUCCACCCUGAAUUGAUCGCCAGCCAAUUGCAGGGCACACAUAAACAACCAUUUCAUUUGCCUACAGACUGCCAAGCUGAUGGUGCGGAGAUGCAACGAAGCAUUCUCAUGGAAGUUCAUCCCACCGUCUGCCUCACCCCUAACACUACUUCCACUUCUGUGGUGAAAUGUGAGCCGAUAAUAAGAUCCCAUCCUUGUCGACGUCAAAGCCUGAUAGCUUGCUCAGUAGCAAGUUGGCACUUUCAGAUUGUAUCACUAGUCGUG
Molecule: long non-coding RNA, 306 nt
Organism: Phyllopteryx taeniolatus (common seadragon)
Lineage: Eukaryota; Metazoa; Chordata; Actinopteri; Syngnathiformes; Syngnathidae
Exons: 2
Source: RefSeq, a predicted model, not a curated record